AAUCAACGCUGGCGGCGUGCCUAACACAUGCAAGUCGAGCGCGAAAGGGGGGGUAACUCCCCAAGUAGAGCGGCGAACGGGUGAGUAACGCGUGGGUGAUCUACCUUCGAGUGGGGAAUAACACCGGGAAACUGGUGCUAAUACCGCAUGACAUCCUCGGUUCAUUCCGGGGAUCAAAGCCGGGGACCGCAAGGCCUGGCGCUUGAAGAGGAGCCCGCGUCCGAUUAGCUAGUUGGCGGGGUAACGCCCACCAAGGCUUCGAUCGUAGCCGGCCUGAGAGGGCGGACGGCCACACUGGGACUGAGACACGGCCCAGACUCCUACGGGAGGCAGCAGUGGGGAAUUUUGGUACAAUGGGCGCAAGCCUGAUCCAGCGAUGCCGCGUGUGUGAAGAAGGCCUGCGGGUUGUAAAGCACUUUCAGU
This 423-nucleotide ribosomal RNA is filed under the name uncultured bacterium. Its description in RNAcentral is "bacterial SSU rRNA". It matches the Rfam family "Bacterial small subunit ribosomal RNA", at positions 28 to 440 of the family's 1533-position model. The record is from RNAcentral.